Molecule: long non-coding RNA, 6069 nt
Organism: Orcinus orca (killer whale)
Lineage: Eukaryota; Metazoa; Chordata; Mammalia; Artiodactyla; Delphinidae
Exons: 3
Source: RefSeq, a predicted model, not a curated record
UCCAACUGGAAGAGGAAAGGGACCAUUAGCUGCCUCUCUCACCUCAUUACAGCCUCUAAGUCAGCCUGCCUCUGGGGUCCAGAGCAGCUUCGACCUGGUCUUCCACCCAUACAACUGACCACCUCCUGUGGCAAGGCACCGACCUCAGCACUGAAAUACCGAAACGGGAACUUAGCUCCCCAACUAGGGAUUGAACCCGUGCCGCCUGCAGUGGAAGCGUGGAGUCCUAAUCACCGGACCACCAGGUAGCUGUCAUCGUAAAUGGAACUGGCCUGGCGAGUCUGCAGCUGCCCCCGAACUGGGUUGAUCAGGUACCCGGGGUAAUAGGAUUCUGCAAUCUGCUCCUGGGUGGCGGACAGGAUCUGGCCUGGGGAAGGGGAUAAGGAGGGGAUGGCUGGAGGAGGAGGUGGCAGGGAUGGGGGCACUGGGGGCUGACUGGGUAGAAUUUCAGAAGUCUGGUUCAAGGAGGGGAAGCUUGUGGAGGGUGGUGGGAGAGGAUGGGUAAGUCUCAGGAAAGGGAGAGGAGAAUUGGGAUGGGGGCAGAGGAGGGAAGGAUGGUGAUCUCGGGCUGGGAGAGGGAUAAGAGGCCAGGUGCGGGAGACAGACGCAGGGAUAGAGGAGGAAGGGCUUACCUUGCCAGAAAUAGCUCCCUGGUCCGCCCAGGACCACACGCCCAGUCUGUGGGGGGAAGGAGGUGAGUCCACAUCUGGUCCUGAUUCCCCUGCAUCCAGCACCCACAGCCACUCUCCUCCCAGAUCCCUCCUCACCUUGGUGAACUCGGCACUGAAGCCCCCUUGGCAGUAACCCUGCCCCGCUGCCCGGCUGAAAUCUGCGAGGGGAGAAGGUGGUGGGAAGGAGCUCCACACAGAUGGGUCAGGCAGGAAAGAGCAGGAAGCUUGGGGAAGGAGAGGGGAGAGGGGGCCAGAGAAAGGACCUCUCUGGACCAGACAGUGAGCAUCAAGGCUGAUGGGGGGCGGGGGACCGUGGGGAUUCACAGAGAAGGCAGACUCAGGGCUCGUGACCCCUCUUGCCCUACCUGAGCGGCACGGCGCAUACUCCAGAAUCCGGGUGAAGUUGUCUGUGGAGAGGUAGCAGGUGCCCACGGGAUCGCUCAGCGGCUCCUUUUCGGUGCGCCAGCUGUAGAGGGGAGCACAGGCCUGGGAGGGCCCAGGAGGAGGGGGGUCCAGGUUUAGUCCAACAGGACCUCUCUUCCCCGCCUCCCCCACUGUGCUCCGCUAACCGCAACCAUUGCCCCUCCUGCCCACCACGCCACUCAGCCUGCUGGCCCUCACCAAGAUGGAGGAGCCAUGGGCUCGCACCGUCGCUCCGAACCACUGCAGGGACUUGUACUCCACAGGCUCCUCUCCCUCGAGGCUGGACGGCGGCGAGGACUCCAGGAUCCGAGAGCCUUGGGGGAGUGAGAAAGGGGAGUCAUGCCAGCUGUGGGCAGCUGAGCCCUAGAGCAGCCCGUGCCCUCAGUCUGGGGGCACCCAAGCACUUGCAAGCCCUGAGCCCAUGACUCAUGGGAGGGUGAGUGGGGAAGGUCCUUACAGUCUGCCUGUUGUAGCCUGACUCAGCUUCCCCUGCACGCGUGCACACAAGCCCAUGUGCACACAUGUGCACACGCACACACACACAGAACCUGGGGUUUCUAGAGGUGCAUUCCCCUGGUCCGCCUGCCUCCUCACCCAGCUGGGACAAGGAUGCUUGUGGUGAGGUGGGGAAGGACGGCUAGUUCCUGAGAGGGCUACCCUCUGGCUGCGCUUCUCUGUCUGUACCUGGGCCUGUGUCUCUAGCAGCACGUGUUCUAUGUCCUUGACCUUUCUCACGUCACUGAAUCUCUGCCCCUCGUGUCUGCGUGUGUGCGUGUGCGCAUCUGUCUGUCUGGCUGUCUCUCUCCUUCCAAACCCUCUCUGCCUCUAUGGGGCAGCCUUUUUUAUUCCUCCGCUUCUCAUCUGUCUUCCAGGUUUUAAAAAGAAAUCGGUCGGUUUUGUGCUCUUACACCACCCCUCCCCCACCAUCUCCAUCUUUUGAUGCUCUCCUCUUUUGUCCCCUCACCCCAGUUUAUCUCUGGAGCCACACUGCUCAAGUUCAUGUCCUCGCUCCACCUUCUACUAGCCGUGUGACCUUAGUCAAGUUACUUAACCCGUUUCCUCACCUAUAAAAUGGGGAUAAUAACACCUCGCGCCAUCGUUGAAAGGAUUAAGUGCGUUAAUAUAUGUAAAGUGCUUACAACAGUGCCCAGUAUAUAGCAAGUGCUCUUGAAGCGUUAGCUGCUGUUAUUAUUCUUUCUCAGCCUGUUUCCUUCCAUCCCUCUCUGCAUCUACUCCGGACGUUAAGCUCCUUGAGGGCGGGGCCUUAAUCAUGUUUCAAUCCCCUGCAGUACCAGCACAGAGCCUGGCACGCAUUAUCACUUAGUCAGUGCUUAGUUAAAUGAAUCGAAUAGGCUCUGUGACUCUCCCUGUCUUUGUCUGUGUUACUGCCCUGGCCUCCCUGAGCUGUGGGUGAUUCAAGGAAAAUGAGAGCCACAUGUUUCUGAAUCAUGCCCGCCCUCCUUGGGCUGGGCUGGAUUGGGAACGUGGUGUGAGUGCCACGGGGAGCCGCUGCACCGCUGCACGGAGCUGGAGCCCCAGAGCCUCAGAGCACGUGGCCGGGGAACUGGUCAGGCUCCGCCCCUCGCUCCAGACCCCGCCCGGGCCCCGCCCCCUAGCCUCAGCCCCACCCCUUAGUCCCUCCCUGAACCUCCCCGACCUACGAAGAGGGUUACCUUUGCUGUCAAAUUCAAUGGGGGUGCACUGUGCUGGGCUGGUGCCCCAGGGGCAGAGGUAGACGGCACCGCCCUGCAGCACUCCCGGCUGGCUGGUGUUAGCCUUGGGCGCUCCCACCAGCACGCUGACCCUGCGGAGGGGAAAGGAGAGGCAGCUCAGGGGGGGCUCCUAGCUCUUCUCCAGUCUCCCCAGGCGGGAAGGACCCAGGCCUCUGGGCCAGGGUCUGGGUGGGCGUGGCACAGAUGCCCCCCGGGUUGUAUUUAUAUCUCAGAAAAUGCCACAGAUGCCAGAGGCCCAGGCCGGAGUCAGGCGGUCCCCAUGUGCCGCUGUCACUAACACAGCCUCUCCCGCCUCCCCCCAGUCUCUCCCUUCCUACCUUCCCCUGUCAUUAGAAGGAGGAACCAGAGUCAGUUCUGGCAAGAGGCCGGGGCCAGAGCUUCUCUAUCUCCUCUAUGGACCUGCCAAGACUGGAGAUGCAGCCCCUAGAACCCCAGGGUCCUCUUACCUAGCCUAUACCCUCUCCUCCCAAGCCAAAGCCCUUUUCUGGGCAAAACCCAGGCGUCCAGCUGCCCAGCCCUGGGGCAUGUCAGAGGAAAAUGUGAAUCUUGGAAACCAGGCAGAAGUGGAGAGAGGAACUGGAGAAUGGUGAAAGCAAAUUGUUCCCCUGGGCCUGGGCGUGGACCUGCCCUCACCCUGGGCUCUGGUGGGACCUCCCCAUCCUGGCUGGGUCUCUGUCUCAGCCUCUGAACCCCUUUCCCAUACACCAUUGGUCAGAGUCUGAACUCAGAUCCGGGUCUACUUGGGUCUUAGUUUUGGACACAGUGCCUCGUUCCCCCUGAGACGACGAGGAGAAGGUUGCCUUUGCUGGGGGUCCUAUGUAAUGGGGUGGUGACAGCUAAGGUCCUGGAUAAUUCUGCUGCCUCUGGCUCUGCCUCUAUCAUUCCUGGGUCCCUUGCCUCCAAGACCUCUGUGCAGUAGUCAGCCUUCUGGGCUUUCUCCUCCAGAGUCUCCCAUGAGGCUGCAUCUGGCAGCCGGGGCAACUGAACCAGUGUCCCUGCCAGCCGCCAGCCUCGGCCUCUGCUCUCCUCCCAUAACUGGCUCUGGCACUGCUUCUCCAUCUGUCCCUCUGCCCCUAGGACUGCUUGCUCUCUUGGUUUUGGUUUUAGGGACCCCCCCCCUCUCUCUCAUCUCAGAUCUUGGGCUUCUCCAUCUCUGUUGGUUUCUGGCCCCUUUCAGCUUUCAGCACUCCCAACACCCACCCUUUUCCCGAUAUUUGGAUCCCUUCAUUAGCCUUUCUUACCAGGAGUCCCCAAGUCGGGGAUUACGGUAGAGGUCACAAAAGCGGGUGUGUGUGUGACGGGAUGGGAGACAAGAGAUACAUCGAGUAGGGGUGGGGUGGGGGGUCCAAGAGGAAUAGGAAUGGGAGCACCAGAGAGAGCAGCUCCAAGGGGCUGAAGCAGAGAGUGAGGGCGGUCUAGCAGGGCCAGAGGGUGAGGAUGGGAGAAGAAAGGGUCCAGAGGGAUAGGAGGGGAGGCCUGGAGUGAGAGUUCCUGGAGUGGUGGGGGGUGGGGUGCCAGCCUCGGUUACCCUGGGGACAGGAAAUGUUUACUGCCUGCGGCUUCCUGUCUGUUUCCAACCUCUCACUUCGCCGUUUGUCUCCCACCCGCCCGCCUGCUGGGCCCCACCCCUCUCACUCAGGCAGUACAUUCAGUAGGGGGGUGGGAGCUGGCUACUCGGAGGCACAGUGACCUGGUUGGCUGCCAGGCCUAGUAGGUGAGGUUGGUGGUGGGGAGAGAUUGCAUUGCCCCGGGGCUGGGGGAGGAGAGAGGGGUGCAAGCCUCUGUAGCAGAGGCAGCCGCAGAAAACAGCAGUGGUGCAGGGGUUCUGGGUCAGGCACUAGCUCAGUGUGGACUUGGGAAUACCCUCUCCCUCUUCCUCUGGGUGAAGAGGUUGAACAGGUUAUCUCAAAGUCUUCCGGAGCUCCCAUACUCUUCCAGGAGAGUGUAGGGGCUUGGCCAAGGGACCCUGCUCCCACCCCCAAUUUUCCCACCACUCCGUGGAGGGGGGCUGAGCCUGGGUGCUCCUGGGAUGGCCUGAGGAAGAAGCUUGGAGUUUGGCAGGGCGGGCAGGUGAGAGAGAGGCCUUACAAGGCUUAGAAAGCCCACAGACUUGUGGGCCAGGGGCAUAUGCCAUGGCUGCGUGAAGGUUCAGGAGAUCUGGGGUACAGGCAAGGGACACAGAUCCCGACCCAGACUUGCCCCGUGCCGCCCAUGGCUUAUACCUGAGGAUGCAGUGGCCCUUCCUUCCCAGCUCCUCCAAGUCAGUCCAGUAACUAGUGCCCUCCCCUAUCUGCCAAGAGAGGCACCCAGUGUCAGAGGUGGCACGUCACAUACCUUAUCCUUAUUCUCCCACUCCUGGUUCCUGCCUCCUAAAUCCUACAGCAGUUGGGUCCUACUAGGGGUCCAAGAAGGUAACAAUGGAGGGUCCUUGGGCUCUUUUCAAUAUUUCAGAGAGCCUAACGGAAAUCAUGCAUUUACCUGAUAAGGCAGCCCAGGCUAAUUAAAACCUCAAGUGUAUUUGCUUUGGGCCGGAAUUAUAUCAACUCCUGUGGGGAACCUAGUUAUCUCAUAUUGGUCAGAAGCUCUGAUUGGCAGCUAUAGACGUCUUCUUGUUCUAAUUUUUGGUGGAUAAAAAAAAAACCAGGAAAAAGGAAUGAAUUAUUCCUUCCUAAAUGCAGCUUGGCAGAUAAACUCUUCCAAAAUAUAGAGACCAAGGGAAGAAAUAAAUUGCCGUAAUUCAUUUUGAAGCCUCGGAACUCUGAUGUUCUAGAGCUGCUUCUUGGAGACACAGGCUGCCUCAGCACCGUGGUUUGAAGACUUUCUUGUCGAUGCCUCAGGGCUGCCACAUGGAGCGAGCAGAGGCCAGUUCGGUCCUGACAGUCCUCUCCAUCUUCUUUCAGAGCAACCUCUUUUCUCUGUUUUUUUUUUUUUUUUCUUUUUUGUGGUACGCGGGCCUCUCACCGUUGUGGCCUCUCCCGUUGCGGAGCACAGGCUCCGGACGCGCGCAGGCUCAGCGGCAAUGGCGCACGGGCCCAGCCGCUCCGCGGCAUGCGGGAUCCUCCCGGACCGGGGCACGAACCCGUGUCCCCUGCAUCGGCAGGCGGACUCUCAACCACUGCGCCACCAGGGAAGCCCUUUUCUCUGUUUUAUAUAGAAUGCCCUGAUAAGAUAUCAUUUGAAUUGAAAGAAAGGAAGGAAGGAAGGAAGGAAGGAAGGAAGGAAGGAAGGAAGAAGGAAAGGAA